CUGGCAAAUUUCCAACAUAUAUUAUCAACUACUAUUCUAUACAAAGAAAGAUAACUCCAAUUGAAAAUUAAUUGCUAUUGCACAAUAUUGUGCAAUUAGAUAUUUCUUGCUAUUGUGCAAUACUGUGCAAUUGAAAAUUUCUUGCUAUUGCACAAUACUUAAUAUGGAAUCCUGAUUUGGACCAACUUGAAAACUGGGCCCAUAAUCAAAAAUCAAAGUACAUGUUUAGAUAAAGCAUAUCAAAUAAGCCCAAUAAUUUAAUUUUUGUUAAAAUCAAACUUAGUUUAAUUUUGGACCCUUUGGACCUUAAUGUAGACCAAUUUGAAAACUGGACCAAAAAUUAAGAAUCUACAUACACAGUUAGAUUUGGCAUAUCAAAGAACCCAUUUAUUCAAUUUUUUGAUGAAAUCAAACAAAGUUUAAUUUUGGACCCCCAUUUAGACCAACUUGAAAACUAGGCCAAUAAUUAAAAAUCUAAGUACAUUUUUAAAUUCAGCAUAUCAAAGAACCCCAAGGAUUCAAUUUUUGUCAAAAUCAAACUAAGUUUAAUUUUGGACCCUUUGGACCUUAAUGUAGACCAAUUUGAAAACGGGACCAAAAAUUAAGAAUCUACAUACAUAGUUAGAUUCGGCAUAUCAAAGAACC
RNAcentral lists this long non-coding RNA (645 nucleotides) under Mytilus galloprovincialis (Mediterranean mussel). The record is from RNAcentral. Lineage: Eukaryota; Metazoa; Mollusca; Bivalvia; Mytilida; Mytilidae.